RNAcentral lists this unclassified non-coding RNA (224 nucleotides) under Hevea brasiliensis (rubber tree). Lineage: Eukaryota; Viridiplantae; Streptophyta; Magnoliopsida; Malpighiales; Euphorbiaceae. The record is from RNAcentral.
GUUGUCUUUCUUCUCUCUUCACUUUGCGAAGAGCAAUGGAAAGAUCUAAGAUAGACUAAGGAGCAGUGGAUGAAAUUGGAUCUUCUGACAAAGAAGUUGGAUGAUACAGGAUCUUCUGACGAAGAAGCUGGUAGAGGAUCUGAGUCAAAAGUCUCCCAUCUCCUGGAAUAAAUAUGAACAAUAGGCAGGUGAUGAGGUCGAGCAGGUGCUGGUGCAGGAGGAUU